UAGUGAUUAACGCGAAGAACCUUACCCAGGCCUGAACUGCAGAUGACAUCCUACGAAAGUAGGCUUCCGCAAGGACGUCUGUAGAGGUGCUGCAUGGCUGUCGUCAGCUCGUGUCGUGAGAUGUUGGGUUAAGUCCCGCAACGAGCGCAACCCUUGUCUUCUGUUGCCAUCGGGUUAUGCCGGGCACUCUGAAGAGACUGCCGGUGACAAACCGGAGGAAGGUGGGGAUGACGUCAAGUCAGCAUGGCCUUUAUGUCUGGGGCCACACACGUGCUACAAUGGCAGGUACAAACCGUCGCGAGACCGCAAGGUGGAACUAAUCGGAGAAAGCCUGUCUCAGUUCGGAUUGUAGGCUGCAACUCGCCUGCAUGAAGUUGGAAUCGCUAGUAAUCGCGGAUCAGCACGCCGCGGUGAAUACGUUCCCGGGCCUUGUCACACCGAAUCGAAUUC
This 450-nucleotide ribosomal RNA is filed under the name uncultured soil bacterium. RNAcentral describes it as "bacterial SSU rRNA". It matches the Rfam family "Bacterial small subunit ribosomal RNA", at positions 951 to 1384 of the family's 1533-position model. The record is from RNAcentral.